GAUGAACGCUGGCUGUGUGCCUAAUACAUGCAUGUCGAGCGAAGCACUUUUGUGCUUAGCGGCGAAUGGGUGAGUAACACGUACUUAACCUACCCUCAAGAUUGGGACAACACUUGGAAACGAGUGCUAAUACCAAAUACGUAUUUUUAUCGCAUGAUAGAUAUAUAAAAGGAGCUUCGGCUUCACUUGAGGAUGGGAGUGCGCUACAUUAGUUAGUUGGUAGGGUAAUGGCCUACCAAGACUAUGAUGUAUAGCGGGGCCGAGAGGCUGAUCCGCCACACUGGGACUGAGAUACGGCCCAGACUCCUACGGGAGGCAGCAGUAGGGAAUUUUCCACAAUGAACGAAAGUUUGAUGGAGCGACACAGCGUGCAGGAUGAAGGUCUUCGGAUUGUAAACUGCUGUUAUAAGAGAAGAAAAACCCUGGUAGGUAAUGACCAGGACUUGACGGUACCUUAUCAGAAAGCGACGGCUAACUAUGUGCCAGCAGCCGCGGUAAUACAUAGGUCGCAAGCGUUAUCCGGAAUUAUUGGGCGUAAAGAGUUCGUAGGUGGUUUUGUAAGUCUGAAGUUAAAUACCGGGGCUCAACCCCGGCCCGCUUUGGAUACUGCAAAACUAGAGUAAUAGAGAGGUUAGUGGAACUCCAAGUGAAGCGGUGGAAUGCGUAGAUAUUUGGAAGAACACUAAUGGCGAAGGCAACUAACUGGAUAUUAACUGACACUGAGGAACGAAAGCGUGGGUAGCAAACAGG
Molecule: ribosomal RNA, 750 nt
Filed under: uncultured bacterium
Lineage: Bacteria
Description: bacterial SSU rRNA
Rfam family: Bacterial small subunit ribosomal RNA
Source: RNAcentral